ACGAAGGGGGCUAGCGUUGCUCGGAAUCACUGGGCGUAAAGCGCACGUAGGCGGAUCGUUAAGUCAGGGGUGAAAGCCUGGAGCUCAACUCCAGAACUGCCCUUGAUACUGGCGAUCUCGAGUCCGGAAGAGGUAAGUGGAACUGCGAGUGUAGAGGUGAAAUUCGUAGAUAUUCGCAAGAACACCAGUGGCGAAGGCGGCUUACUGGUCCGGUACUGACGCUGAGGUGCGAAAGCGUGGGGAGCAAACAG
RNAcentral lists this ribosomal RNA (251 nucleotides) under uncultured prokaryote. Its description in RNAcentral is "partial 16S rRNA". It matches the Rfam family "Bacterial small subunit ribosomal RNA", at positions 525 to 775 of the family's 1533-position model. The record is from RNAcentral.